AGUAAUUAGGAACAUGGUACAUACAUUUUAAUGUACUAAAUGCAACUUUACCUCCUCAACUUUAUUGUUCAAGUAUGACAUAUCAAGCUUAUCAUCAGCAAAAAAUGUUCAUUUUAUUGCAUAGUUUUAUGUGCCGAAGGUGAGAUUACAACAUUAAGCUUGAAUCGAAAGUUAAGUCAUAAUCCACAUAGUUGUUGUAUAAUCUUGGCACUUCUUCAGAUUUUCCGUCCAAGCAGAUCAAGAAAAAAUAUUCAUAGCUGCAUGGAUGAGUGUUGUCCCGCACUGCACAAUUUCCCCAUCCAUGUCGUAGAACGAAUGUAGCCAACCUGUGAGGCAUCAGUUGAUUGUGCCCGCAACCGUAUUUGCAUCAAAACACCACCAGUACAGUACGUCCUCCAUGCCUCCGGCCUCCAGCAAGCGACACAAUAAGAAGCAGAGGAGACCCCGUGCUAGUAUCGGCCGGUUGCAGAUAUUGAUGUAUCCCAUCCCAAGCGGAGGCGUCAAACAACGCUGGCCUCUUAGGUCACGCCGCCUCUCCUCACUUCAUUAUCUCUAACUGCUGAGUGUUGGGUCCCAAUGUAAUCAGCGCCCGCCAGCCACCAGCCAAGACGUGAGAGUUGGUACAUGGCGAGAGAGGUGGAGGAGGAUCCGGAGAACAGGGGAUUGAUAGCGAGGUGGAAGAGGAGGCUUCAAUGGGAUUUUGCGGCUAAUCGAGGACGGCCGACGAUGCCAAAGUUGUGCAUAUCAUGAUCUGCAUGCUGCGGAGGAGACCACAAGAGGAAGAUCUGAUAUGAACAUGUAACAUGACAUCAUCCUUAUAAAUUAGUUUUAUCCGUUUGGCUGGAGUCCA
Molecule: long non-coding RNA, 850 nt
Organism: Triticum aestivum (bread wheat)
Lineage: Eukaryota; Viridiplantae; Streptophyta; Magnoliopsida; Poales; Poaceae
Exons: 2
Source: RefSeq, a predicted model, not a curated record